RNAcentral lists this unclassified non-coding RNA (339 nucleotides) under soil metagenome. RNAcentral's name for it is "partial contains 5.8S ribosomal RNA, internal transcribed spacer 2, and large subunit ribosomal RNA". The stretch from base 1 to 120 matches the Rfam family "5.8S ribosomal RNA", at positions 35 to 154 of the family's 154-position model. The record is from RNAcentral.
GAUGAAGAACGUAGCGAAAUGCGAUAACUAAUGUGAAUUGCAGAAUUCAGUGAAUCAUCGAGUCUUUGAACGCACAUUGCGCCCCCUGGUAUUCCGGGGGGCAUGCCUGUCCGAGCGUCAUUGCUGCCCUCAAGCACGGCUUGUGUGUUGGGCUCCCUCCCCCCGGGGACGGGCCCGAAAGGCAGCGGCGGCACCGAGUCCGGUCCUCGAGCGUAUGGGGCUUUGUCACCCGCUCUGUAGGCCCGGCCGGCGCCAGCCGACAACCCAUCAUCCUUUUCAGGUUGACCUCGGAUCAGGUAGGGAUACCCGCUGAACUUAAGCAUAUCAAUAAGCGGAGGA